GCCCCAGACUCCUACGGGAGGCAGCAGUGGGGGAUAUUGCACAAUGGGGGGAACCCUGAUGCAGCGACGCCGCGUGGGUGAAGAAGUAUUUCGGUCUGUAAAGCCCUAUCGGCAGGGAAGAAAUUGGACGGUACCUGACUAAGAAGCCCCGGCUAAAUACGGGCCAGCAGCCGCGGGAAUACGUAGGGGGCAAGCGUUAUCCGGGUUCACUGGGUGUGAAGGGAGCGUCGACGGCGACGCAAGUCUUGAGUGAAAGCCCGGGGCCCAACCCCGGGACUGCUCUGGAAACUGCGUCGCUGGAGUACGGGAGGGGCAGGCGGAAUUCCUGGUGUAGCGGUGAAAUGCGUAGAUAUAAGGAGGGACACCGGUGGCGAAGGCAGCCUGCUGGACGGCAACUGACGUUGAGGCCCGAAAGCGUGGGGAGCAAACAGGAUUAGAUACCCCUGUAAAU
This 451-nucleotide ribosomal RNA is filed under the name uncultured bacterium. Its description in RNAcentral is "bacterial SSU rRNA". It matches the Rfam family "Bacterial small subunit ribosomal RNA", at positions 328 to 794 of the family's 1533-position model. The record is from RNAcentral.